RNAcentral lists this ribosomal RNA (253 nucleotides) under uncultured bacterium. RNAcentral describes it as "partial 16S ribosomal RNA". It matches the Rfam family "Bacterial small subunit ribosomal RNA", at positions 524 to 776 of the family's 1533-position model. The record is from RNAcentral.
UACGAAGGUGGCAAGCGUUGUUCGGAUUUACUGGGCGUACAGGGAGCGUAGGCGGUUGGAUAAGCCCUCCGUGAAAUCUCCAGGCUUAACCUGGAAAGUGCAGAGGGGACUGUUCAGCUAGAGGAUGGGAGAGGAGCGCGGAAUUCCCGGUGUAGCGGUGAAAUGCGUAGAGAUCGGGAGGAAGGCCGGUGGCGAAGGCGGCCUUCUGGACAGUGACUGACGCUGAGACGCGAAAGCGUGGGGAGCAAACAGG